RNAcentral lists this transfer RNA (66 nucleotides) under Cultellus attenuatus. Its description in RNAcentral is "tRNA-Cys". The record is from RNAcentral. Lineage: Eukaryota; Metazoa; Mollusca; Bivalvia; Adapedonta; Cultellidae.
AGCUCUAUAUUCUAAGGUAAGAUAGUGAGUUGCAACCUCACAGAUGAAAUAGUAUUUCUAGGGCCU